GGCAGAAAUAGCACAAAAUGCAGGCAGUCGGUGACACCGGUACAGGAAAUGCUAAUGAGCAGUGGCCAGAGGUCCAGCAGCAACGUGACACUCCAUGUAAAACCCAAUCUGUGUGACCAAGCUGCUAUCGCUAACCAGUUGCAAUCGAUAU
Molecule: long non-coding RNA, 151 nt
Organism: Lampris incognitus (smalleye Pacific opah)
Lineage: Eukaryota; Metazoa; Chordata; Actinopteri; Lampriformes; Lampridae
Exons: 3
Source: RefSeq, a predicted model, not a curated record